This 468-nucleotide ribosomal RNA is filed under the name uncultured bacterium. RNAcentral describes it as "partial 16S ribosomal RNA". It matches the Rfam family "Bacterial small subunit ribosomal RNA", at positions 28 to 507 of the family's 1533-position model. The record is from RNAcentral.
GACGAACGCUGGCGGCGUGCUUAACACAUGCAAGUCGAACGGAAAGGCCCUGCUUUUGUGGGGUGCUCGAGUGGCGAACGGGUGAGUAACACGUGAGUAACCUACCCUUGACUUUGGGAUAACUUCAGGAAACUGGGGCUAAUACCGGAUAGGAGCUCCUGCUGCAUGGUGGGGGUUGGAAAGUUUCGGCGGUUGGGGAUGGACUCGCGGCUUAUCAGCUUGUUGGUGGGGUAGUGGCUUACCAAGGCUUUGACGGGUAGCCGGCCUGAGAGGGUGACCGGCCACAUUGGGACUGAGAUACGGCCCAGACUCCUACGGGGGGCAGCAGUGGGGAAUAUUGCACAAUGGGCGGAAGCCUGAUGCAGCAACGCCGCGUGCGGGAUGACGGCCUUCGGGUUGUAAACCGCUUUCGCCUGUGACGAAGCGUGAGUGACGGUAAUGGGUAAAGAAGCACCGGCUAACUACGUG